ACAUUACUUACUCAGUCGGUAGAGCAUGAGACUCUUAAUCUCAGGGUCGUGGGUUCGCCCCACGUUGGGCG
Cricetulus griseus (Chinese hamster) is the source of this 71-nucleotide non-coding RNA. The record is from Rfam. NCBI's taxonomy places the organism in Eukaryota, Metazoa, Chordata, Mammalia, Rodentia, Cricetidae.